Molecule: ribosomal RNA, 539 nt
Filed under: uncultured bacterium
Lineage: Bacteria
Description: bacterial SSU rRNA
Rfam family: Bacterial small subunit ribosomal RNA
Source: RNAcentral
GAGGAAUAUUGGUCAAUGGGCGCGAGCCUGAACCAGCCAAGUAGCGUGCAGGAUGACGGCCCUAUGGGUUGUAAACUGCUUUUGUAUGGGGAUAAAGUCAAUCACGUGUGAUUGUUUGCAGGUACCAUACGAAUAAGGACCGGCUAAUUCCGUGCCAGCAGCCGCGGUAAUACGGAAGGUCCGGGCGUUAUCCGGAUUUAUUGGGUUUAAAGGGAGCGUAGGCCGGAGAUUAAGUGUGUUGUGAAAUGUAGACGCUCAACGUCUGACUUGCAGCGCAUACUGGUUUUCCUGAGUACGCACAACGUUGGCGGAAUUCGUCGUGUAGCGGUGAAAUGCUUAGAUAUGACGAAGAACUCCGAUUGCGAAGGCAGCUGACGGGAGCGCAACUGACGCUUAAGCUCGAAGGUGCGGGUAUCGAACAGGAUUAGAUACCCUGGUAGUCCGCACAGUAAACGAUGGAUGCCCGCUGUUGGUACCUGGUAUCAGCGGCUAAGCGAAAGCAUUAAGCAUCCCACCUGGGGAGUACGCCGGCAACGGUG